UUCUUUAGUGUAAAAUCCGUAUCUUCGCAUCAACUUUUUCAGAAAAGGGAAUCACGUCCAAUUCGUGAACUGUCCCCGCAACUGUAAAUCACGGGAUGAAAAUAAGUUUAUCACUUAUCAUCCGAUUUUUCUGCUUAUCAAGCCAUUGUAACGAUACGAGAAGGCGCAGAAAAGUGAAAGUCAGGAAACCUUACUGAAAAGCAAUAUAUCA
RNAcentral lists this non-coding RNA (211 nucleotides) under Chryseobacterium sp. Lineage: Bacteria; Pseudomonadati; Bacteroidota; Flavobacteriia; Flavobacteriales; Weeksellaceae. The record is from RNAcentral.